UUUUCAACAACAGUAAAGAAAUGAGAAUAUCUGAAUGAGUUAAUCACAUUUGGAUUAUUAUUAUUAUUAUUAUUAUUAUUAUUAUUAUUAUUAUUAUGAUACUUGGAUUAUUUUGAAGACGUCAGUGAUGAGCGUUCAGGCUGAUGCAGAGACAAACAGUUUCAGUCUGUCCACGAUGGCUGGUAGUGAUGACAGCGACGAAGAGACCAGUCAAGAGGAACAGCCAAUCACAAGCUGGAAUGACCUGUCCAUCAUAGAGCGGGUGGGACUCAACAGGUGACCCAGACCAGCAUCAGAACCUGAUACAGGGUAGUUGACAUAUGCACUGGUGUCACUGACCGCUUAAUAACUGUCCAAUUUUCUUUUUAUCUGACA
Molecule: long non-coding RNA, 375 nt
Organism: Sphaeramia orbicularis (orbiculate cardinalfish)
Lineage: Eukaryota; Metazoa; Chordata; Actinopteri; Kurtiformes; Apogonidae
Exons: 3
Source: RefSeq, a predicted model, not a curated record